This 254-nucleotide ribosomal RNA is filed under the name uncultured bacterium. Its description in RNAcentral is "partial 16S ribosomal RNA". It matches the Rfam family "Bacterial small subunit ribosomal RNA", at positions 524 to 776 of the family's 1533-position model. The record is from RNAcentral.
UACGUAGGGGGCGAGCGUUGUCCGAAUUUACUGGGCGUAAAGAGCGCGUAGGCGGUUUCUUACGUGAGAGGUGAAAGGUUCAGGGCUCAACCCGAACAGUGCCUUUCAUACUGGGAGCCUUGAGUGUGGGAGAGGCGAGUGGAAUUUCUGGUGUAGCGGUGAAAUGCGUAGAUAUCAGAAGGAACACCCAUGGCGAAGGCAGCUCGCUGGCCUACAACUGACGCUGAGGCGCGAAAGCGUGGGGAGCAAACAGG